UACGUAGGGUGCGAGCGUUGUCCGGAAUUAUUGGGCGUAAAGGGCUCGUAGGCGGUCUGUUGCGUCGGGAGUGAAAACUCAGGGCUUAACCCUGAGCCUGCUUCCGAUACGGGCAGACUAGAGGUAUGCAGGGGAGAACGGAAUUCCUGGUGUAGCGGUGAAAUGCGCAGAUAUCAGGAGGAACACCGGUGGCGAAGGCGGAUCUCUGGGACGGUACUGACGCUGAGACGCGAAAGCGUGGGGAGCGAACAGG
RNAcentral lists this ribosomal RNA (253 nucleotides) under uncultured bacterium. RNAcentral's name for it is "partial 16S ribosomal RNA". It matches the Rfam family "Bacterial small subunit ribosomal RNA", at positions 524 to 776 of the family's 1533-position model. The record is from RNAcentral.